Molecule: long non-coding RNA, 100 nt
Organism: Etheostoma spectabile (orangethroat darter)
Lineage: Eukaryota; Metazoa; Chordata; Actinopteri; Perciformes; Percidae
Exons: 3
Source: RefSeq, a predicted model, not a curated record
CUGUUCAGUACUAUAGAGUAGCAUUGGGCAUCAAGAACCGGUUCCUACUUGGAAUCAUUUCAAAAAUUCAGAUUCCAAUGGAAUUGUUUUUUUUUUUUUA